Molecule: ribosomal RNA, 77 nt
Filed under: Staphylococcus aureus
Lineage: Bacteria; Bacillati; Bacillota; Bacilli; Caryophanales; Staphylococcaceae
Description: partial 16S ribosomal RNA
Rfam family: Bacterial small subunit ribosomal RNA
Source: RNAcentral
UUUAUGGAGAGUUUGAUCCUGGCUCAGGAUGAACGCUGGCGGCGUGCCUAAUACAUGCAAGUCGAGCGAACGGACGA